GGCUCGGCUUCUCUCUCUCUCUCAUCCUCUCCUCCACGGCAACAACGGUGACAAAGUCCGUCUCCCUUGGUGGCUCUGAGAAUCGCAUCAAAAUCGCCAAGGCCGGAGCAGUUAAGCCGCUCAUCUCUCUGAUCUCCUUUUCGGAUCCGCUGUGCUCUGCUAAAUAGAACAAACUCAGAGCCGUGCAGUCGGGUUAUUAAGCUGAGAUUCUUAUGCAUAAGAAGAACCAAGUCUUCUUCAACAAAGCUCAGGGAGGUGACGCGAGAUGCAAUGUUUUGGGUAGUCGUAACAGAAACAGCAAGCGGCUUCCUUGGUUUGGCCAUAAGCUUCACUUCGAUGUGGUUCUUGCAUCAAACCGGACCCACAACGUACAUUCUGGUGGGUUCAUUAAACAAGGUUCCGAUAUCAUUAUCUGGUCUUGUACUCUUUGAUGUCCCUCUCAGUCUCCCAAAUUUGUUCAGCAUACUUUUUGGUUUAUUUGCUGGUGUUGUCUUUGCCAGAGCCAAAUGUCAUAAUCGUGUUUCCAAGCCA
Long non-coding RNA from Brassica oleracea var. oleracea, 531 nucleotides. RefSeq lists it as uncharacterized. The record is from RefSeq and is a predicted model, not a curated record. The transcript has 4 exons. NCBI's taxonomy places the organism in Eukaryota, Viridiplantae, Streptophyta, Magnoliopsida, Brassicales, Brassicaceae.